RNAcentral lists this ribosomal RNA (484 nucleotides) under uncultured bacterium. RNAcentral describes it as "partial 16S ribosomal RNA". It matches the Rfam family "Bacterial small subunit ribosomal RNA", at positions 30 to 507 of the family's 1533-position model. The record is from RNAcentral.
AUUGAACGCUGGCGGCAGGCCUAACACAUGCAAGUCGAGCGGAUGAAGGGAGCUUGCUCCUGGAUUCAGCGGCGGACGGGUGAGUAAUGCCUAGGAAUCUGCCUGGUAGUGGGGGAUAACGUCCGGAAACGGGCGCUAAUACCGCAUACGUCCUGAGGGAGAAAGUGGGGGAUCUUCGGACCUCACGCUAUCAGAUGAGCCUAGGUCGGAUUAGCUAGUUGGUGGGGUAAAGGCCUACCAAGGCGACGAUCCGUAACUGGUCUGAGAGGAUGACCAGUCACACUGGAACUGAGACACGGUCCAGACUCCUACGGGAGGCAGCAGUGGGGAAUAUUGGACAAUGGGCGAAAGCCUGAUCCAGCCAUGCCGCAUGUGUGAAGAAGGUCUUCGGAUUGUAAAGCACUUUAAGUUGGGAGGAAGGGCAGUAAGUUAAUACCUUGCUGUUUUGACGUUACCAACAGAAUAAGCACCGGCUAACUUCGUG